Molecule: small nuclear RNA, 103 nt
Organism: Arvicola amphibius (Eurasian water vole)
Lineage: Eukaryota; Metazoa; Chordata; Mammalia; Rodentia; Cricetidae
Source: RefSeq, a predicted model, not a curated record
GUGCUUGCUUCAGCAGCACGUUGAAAAUGGGAACAUACAGAGAAGAUUAGCAUUGUCUCUGCAGAAGGAUGAGAUGUAAAUUCUUAAAGUAUUCCAUAUCUAA